GAUGAAGAACGUAGCGAAAUGCGAUAAGUAGUGUGAAUUGCAGAAUUCAGUGAAUCAUCGAAUCUUUGAACGCACAUUGCGCCCCUUGGUAUUCCGAGGGGCAUGCCUGUUCGAGCGUCAUUAUAACCCCUCAAGCUCAGCUUGGUGUUGGGACCUGCUGCACUGGCAGCCCUUAAAAUCAGUGGCGGCGCCAUCUGGCUCUAAGCGUAGUAAUUCUUCUCGCUAUGGAGUCCUGGUGGAUGCUUGCCAUCAACCCCCAAUUUUUCUAUGGUUGACCUCGGAUCAGGUAGGGAUACCCGCUGAACUUAAGCAUAUCAAUAAGCGGAGGA
Molecule: unclassified non-coding RNA, 329 nt
Filed under: soil metagenome
Description: partial contains 5.8S ribosomal RNA, internal transcribed spacer 2, and large subunit ribosomal RNA
Rfam family: 5.8S ribosomal RNA (bases 1-120)
Source: RNAcentral